AUACUUACCUGGAUGGGGUCUAUGGCUGAUCAAGAAGAGCCAUGGCCUAAGCUAGUGGCUUCCAUUGCACUUUAGGAGGAGCACUAGUUUACCAUCUCCUCAAGUAGGAGAGUGGACAUCAUAAUUUGUGGCAGAGGGGAUACGCGUUCGCGCGGUCCCUAC
RNAcentral lists this small nuclear RNA (162 nucleotides) under Zea mays. Its description in RNAcentral is "U1 spliceosomal RNA". It matches the Rfam family "U1 spliceosomal RNA". Rfam says of the family: U1 is a small nuclear RNA (snRNA) component of the spliceosome (involved in pre-mRNA splicing). The record is from Rfam by way of RNAcentral. Lineage: Eukaryota; Viridiplantae; Streptophyta; Magnoliopsida; Poales; Poaceae.